Molecule: ribosomal RNA, 443 nt
Filed under: uncultured bacterium
Lineage: Bacteria
Description: partial 16S ribosomal RNA
Rfam family: Bacterial small subunit ribosomal RNA
Source: RNAcentral
CCUACGGGUGGCAGCAGUGGGGAAUAUUGGGCAAUGGGCGCAAGCCUGACCCAGCAACGCCGCGUGAAGGAAGAAGGCUUUCGGGUUGUAAACUUCUUUCCUGAGGGACGAAGGAAGUGACGGUACCUCAGGAAUAAGCCACGGCUAACUACGUGCCAGCAGCCGCGGUAAUACGUAGGUGGCAAGCGUUAUCCGGAUUUAUUGGGUGUAAAGGGCGCGUAGGCGGUAAAGCAAGUCAGAUGUGAAAGCUCAGGGCUCAACCCUGAGCCUGCAUUGGAAACUGUUUUUCUUGGGUGCUGGAGAGGCAAUCGGAAUUCCGUGUGUAGCGGUGAAAUGCGUAGAUAUACGGAGGAACACCAGUGGCGAAGGCGGAUUGCUGGACAGUAACUGACGCUGAGGCGCGAAAGCGUGGGGAGCAAACAGGAUUAGAUACCCUUGUAGUC